RNAcentral lists this unclassified non-coding RNA (395 nucleotides) under soil metagenome. Its description in RNAcentral is "partial contains 5.8S ribosomal RNA, internal transcribed spacer 2, and large subunit ribosomal RNA". The stretch from base 1 to 122 matches the Rfam family "5.8S ribosomal RNA", at positions 35 to 154 of the family's 154-position model. The record is from RNAcentral.
GAUGAAGAACGCAGCGAAAUGCGAUACUUGGUGUGAAUUGCAGAAUCCCGUGAACCAUCGAGUCUUUGAACGCAAGUUGCGCCCGAAGCCAUCAGGUUGAGGGCACGUCUGCCUGGGCGUCACAUAUCGUUGCCCAAUGCCUAUUGCAGUGCAAUAGGAAUUUCUAGGGCGAAUGAUGGCUUCCCGUGAGCGUUGUUGCCUCGCGGUUCGUUGAAAAUCGAGUCCUUGGUAGGGUGUGCCAUGGUAGAUGGUGGUCGAGUUAGAACGAUACCGAUCAUGUGCAUGCUCCCCAAAAUAUGGCCUCUAUGACCCACACGCGUCUUUUGACGCUCAUGACGAGACCUCAGGUCAGGCGGGGCUACCCGCUGAAUUUAAGCAUAUCAAUAAGCGGAGGA